UACGAAGGGUGCAAGCGUUAGUCGGAAUUACUGGGCGUAAAGCGUGCGUAGGUGGUUUCUUAAGUCCGUUGUGAAAGCCCCGGGCUCAACCUGGGAAUGGCAGUGGAUACUGAGAGGCUAGAGUGUGUCAGAGGAUGGUGGAAUUCCCGGUGUAGCGGUGAAAUGCGUAGAGAUCGGGAGGAACAUCAGUGGCGAAGGCGGCCAUCUGGGACAACACUGACGCUGAGGCACGAAAGCGUGGGGAGCAAACAGG
This 253-nucleotide ribosomal RNA is filed under the name uncultured bacterium. RNAcentral's name for it is "partial 16S ribosomal RNA". It matches the Rfam family "Bacterial small subunit ribosomal RNA", at positions 524 to 776 of the family's 1533-position model. RNAcentral also lists the same sequence under 1 other name. The record is from RNAcentral.